RNAcentral lists this ribosomal RNA (696 nucleotides) under Triticum aestivum (bread wheat). Its description in RNAcentral is "partial small subunit ribosomal RNA". The record is from RNAcentral. Lineage: Eukaryota; Viridiplantae; Streptophyta; Magnoliopsida; Poales; Poaceae.
AUGACGAAAAAUUCAAGGAGCAUGAAAUAUUCGUCUGCUGAGCUCAGAUCAACGCGUUAUUUAAGGCCCUUCAGCCAUUGUAGUUUCAAGAGAGUUGCUACCCAGGAGCCAACAUUAGCAGCAACGGAGAAAUGUGCAUGGAAAGACGCGAUCUGUCCAGUCUGCAUCGAAUGCCCGCAUGAUGCUGUCCUUCUACUCUGUUCAUCUCAUGACAAAGGCUGCCGUCCAUAUGUAUGUGGAACCAGCUUCCUCCACUCAAAUUGUCUCGACCAACUUAUAGAGUCAUGCAGAAGCCCAGGAAGCGGCGAUGAUCCAGGCUCGAUAGUGCUCACAUGCCCUCUUUGCCGUGGUGAGGUUAAGGGAUAUACACUGGUUGAGCCUGCUCGGGAGCAGCUAAACAGAAACAGGAGGAGCUGCAUGCAAGAUGGCUGCUCAUACAGUGGUACAUACAGAGAACUCUGCAGGCAUGCACGAAAGAAGCAUCCUUCGGCAAAGCCUCGUGCUGCGGACCCUCUACAGACUUACAGAUGGAGGCGACUCAUGUUCAGAACCACGUUGCAAGACAUGAUCUGCGCAACGAGCUCGUCAAUGCUCCAAGAGCUAUUGUCUGCCAUGUUGCAGUGGGAGGAGCUUCUGUCAUCUGGUUGGCGUGGAGGUGAUGAUCACCUUGGUGCUGCUAAUGAUACUGCAGUGUAA